AAACGACUCUCGGCAACGGAUAUCUCGGCUCUCGCAUCGAUGAAGAACGUAGCGAAAUGCGAUACUUGGUGUGAAUUGCAGAAUCCCGUGAACCAUCGAGUCUUUGAACGCAAGUUGCGCCCGAAGCCUUCGGGCCGAGGGCACGCCUGCCUGGGCAUCACGC
This 163-nucleotide ribosomal RNA is filed under the name Strobilanthes repanda. RNAcentral's name for it is "5.8S ribosomal RNA". It matches the Rfam family "5.8S ribosomal RNA". Rfam says of the family: 5.8S ribosomal RNA (5.8S rRNA) is a component of the large subunit of the eukaryotic ribosome. Lineage: Eukaryota; Viridiplantae; Streptophyta; Magnoliopsida; Lamiales; Acanthaceae. The record is from RNAcentral.